CCCGCUGAACUUAAGCAUAUCAAUAAGCGGAGGAAAAGAAACUAACAAGGAUUCCCCUAGUAACUGCGAGUGAAGCGGGAAAAGCUCAAAUUUAAAAUCUGGCAGCUCUGCUGUCCGAGUUGUAAUCUGUAGAAGCGUUUUCUGCAUUGGACCGUGUACAAGUCUCUUGGAACAGAGUGUCAUAGAGGGUGAGAAUCCCGUUCAUGACACGGACUACCAAUGCUUUGUGAUACGCUCUCAAAGAGUCGAGUUGUUUGGGAAUGCAGCUCAAAAUGGGUGGUAAAUUCCAUCUAAAGCUAAAUACAGGCGAGAGACCGAUAGUGAACAAGUACCGUGAGGGAAAGAUGAAAAGCACUUUGGAAAGAGAGUUAAACAGUAUGUGAAAUUGUUGAAAGGGAAACACUUGAAGUCAGUCACAUCCUGCAGGACUCAGCCUUGCCUUAUAGGCUUAGUGCACUUCCUGCAGGAUGGGUCAACAUCAAUUUUGGUCGGUGGAUAAGGGAUGGGGGAAUGUGGCACCUUUGGGUGUGUUAUAGCCUCUCUUCAUAUACAUUGACUGGGAUUGAGGAUUGCAGCAUGCCCUUGUAGGCCAGGACCUAUCAUGUUACAUGCUUAGGAUGUUGACAAAAUGGCUUUAAGUGACCCGUCUUGAAACACGG
RNAcentral lists this ribosomal RNA (659 nucleotides) under uncultured fungus. RNAcentral's name for it is "eukaryotic LSU rRNA". It matches the Rfam family "Eukaryotic large subunit ribosomal RNA", at positions 24 to 664 of the family's 3401-position model. Lineage: Eukaryota; Fungi. The record is from RNAcentral.